AGAAUCAACGCUGGCGGCGUGCCUAACACAUGCAAGUCGAACGAGAAAGUGGUAGCAAUACCAUGAGUAAAGUGGCGCACGGGUGAGUAACACGUGACUAACCUACCCUGGAGUGGGGAUAACUGAGGGAAACCUUAGCUAAUACCGCAUAACACCUACGGGUCAAAGGAGCAAUUCGCUUCAGGAGGGGGUCGCGGCAGAUUAGCUAGUUGGCGGGUAAUGGCCACCAAGGCAGUGAUCUGUAU
Molecule: ribosomal RNA, 245 nt
Filed under: uncultured bacterium
Lineage: Bacteria
Description: partial small subunit ribosomal RNA
Rfam family: Bacterial small subunit ribosomal RNA
Source: RNAcentral